This is a long non-coding RNA of Salvelinus namaycush (lake trout), 2535 nucleotides long. RefSeq lists it as uncharacterized. NCBI's taxonomy places the organism in Eukaryota, Metazoa, Chordata, Actinopteri, Salmoniformes, Salmonidae. The record is from RefSeq and is a predicted model, not a curated record. The transcript is spliced from 5 exons.
AAUGGUUUAGGGCUGUUUAGCCAAAGAAUCCGCGCGCUGGGACAACUAGCAAGCUAAAGUUAGCUAGUGAGUCACAGAAAUAUCUGCCAACUAGGCUCAGUGGGUGACAGGUAACUGUGUUUCCACCAAGCUGUUCCAGGCCUGAAGUGGCACCCUGGAACUUCUAGAGGCUUGUAGACUUGAAGCUGUGUGAUGUGGUCCAGAUCUGACACCCCUAUUAGCUCAACCACAGCCCUCAUAGCUGCAGUCUUCUGCUCCUGCACCUGCUACACCGGCCGCGACAGGUGAUACAGAUCUGCCACCCUUAGCAGUUCAGCUGCAUUCACAGCAGUCCUCUGCUGUGGUAUUUAUUUUACUGGCUGCACCAGGUCCUACUACACUGGCCGUGAAGGGAGAAACUUUUAAGGAUUCUCAGAUGGAAUCAGAUCUACCAUGCACUCCACCACUGCCCGACAGCCUCUCCCAGACGUGCAUACACUGGGCCUAUCAAGACUGACAAAGCAGAGAUGGGUGAGUGACAAGGAAAAAUAAAACACAACAUGCACACACACACACACUCUCUCGCUGUCACACACAUACACACACACAUUAUCCCCAAUGUAAAUCAUUUGUAAUUACUUGUUUAUUUGAUGUAUUCUCCAUUUUAUUUUAGGAUCGGAGAUAUCUACUCCUACAUAUCCGUUAUCAACAUCUACAUAAUUAAUCUAAAUAGCUAUCAAAUCAAAGUGUGAUUGAUAAUAUUGUAAAAGAGUAUUGCUUAAUGUGUACAGUUUGAGGAAAUUCUGUGUGCUUUUUCUGAGUUGAAAAACAUUACUCGCUCUCACACUCUCUCUUUCUCCCUCACAUACAGUAUAUACAAGGUUCCCAGGAGUGGCAGGCAGAUAGUACAUUAAAAACACUUUUGCAGGACAAUAAACUAAGGCCCCUGGCUACCCAUCACAUUGCUCUGUCCAAACUGAUGUUUGUUCUCCACAAUGAAUGUAUGUAGCGAUUUAAAUUCAGGGUGAGUCAUCAGGCAACCAAGGCCAAGGAAUGGAGAGAGAGAUGACCUGGAGGGAGUUCCAGACCUCAGCUUUUUCUGAAGCAGAAAAGCAGAGAUGGGUGGCUGACAAGGAAGAAAAAAACCACAACCUGCACACACUCUCCUCUCUCUCACACACACACGCAGUCUGUAAAUAUAUAAAUACAUUGUAAGAUAUCUAGGCCUCUAACUCUCAAGUGCACUAAAAAAGGUUUAUCAUAAAAAUUAUCAUUAUUAAUAAUGGACACAAUUAUAUAAUUAAUACAUAUUAGAAUAAUAAUACAGAAGAGUGACCAAUAGUUACUGUAUUGUGAUUGUUUAAGUGUUUUAAUUAGUCAACAAGUAGUGCCCCAAGAGGGGAUCGAACCAUGUCCCAAAAGCAGCAGAAAAGGUCAAAUAAGGUCACAAAACUGUUUGUUAUGGCUAUACAAGUCUGGCAAUAACGUGGUGCCUGGUCGUCACUAGUUACCACAAACACAAAGUCAUAUAAUCCCACCUAUUUAUACAAUCUAUCUUCUCAAAAUGUGAUUUUAAACCUAACUCUAACCUUAACCACACUACUAACCUUAUGCCUAACCCUAACCUUAAAUUAAGACCAAAAAGCACUUUUUCCCCCCAUACAUUUUUAGGAUACAGUUUUGACUUUGUGGCUAUGGUAACUAGUGGAAACCGUUGCACCUGUUGUUCACAUGCAUAUCCGUUCUCUCAUUGGCUAGAAUUUUCUCACCUGAUCUUACCUUCUCCAACUGCCUUCCAUUUUUGAAGACAUGGGACACGUUCGAGCGUAUCGUUGGUCACCGUCUUUCAAAACGUGUUGCGUUAUGUGCAUAGAAAUUGUCUGACUUGCUCCUACAUGUCGACUGGAUGAACUACAGAAAUCAUGUGAUCAAAGGUAAUGAAGUUGACUGCAAGUUUCUGCAGCUGCUCUUCACCAACUUCCUCCUGCAGCCUUGCCUGCAUUGUGGGAGGCACUAUUGUAAACCAAUCAAUUGGGUGUUUAUUUGAUCAACGUGAAUGGGACCAAAGACAUGACUGAAACAGGAACCAACUUCCUGUAUACAGUGGAUAACCUAUAUACAAAUGAAUGUGAUAUUUGAGGCUCUGUACAAUGAACACACAUGAUUUCCGUUUGUGAGCGUGUGAUAUGGGUAUUGGAGCCAUGUUAUUUCGACAUUAUAAAUAAAACUUUUGAUAAACAAUGACAACACUGGGAUGUUGAUCUGAGCAUUGCUGUUGGAAAAUCAGUGUCCAACUUGUGGCCAUCGAAGAUGCACCUCCCCCCACUUCAAUCCUCGACUUUUGUCUACAGUCGGUAGCUUUCACAACUCAAACGCACCCAUUGGUAGUGUUUGAGAGCAUCAAAACGACUGCAGGUGACUGACUGAUCUACAAACCUCCUUGCAUCAUAAAUAACAACUAAUUAUUGGUAAAUCAGUCAGUCACAAUUUAACCAUUAUACAUUGCGGUUUUGAUCCUCUCGAAUACAGACCAUUUAUUUUAAUUGAUGUUAGAGC